AAUACGUAGGGUGCAAGCGUUGUCCGGAAUUAUUGGGCGUAAAGAGCUUGUAGGCGGUGUGUCGCGUCUGCUAUGAAAACUCAGGGCUCAACUCUGAGCUUGCAGUGGGUACGGGCACACUUGAGUGCUGUAGGGGAGACUGGAAUUCCUGGUGUAGCGGUGAAAUGCGCAGAUAUCAGGAGGAACACCGGUGGCGAAGGCGGGUCUCUGGGCAGUUACUGACGCUGAGGAGCGAAAGCAUGGGGAGCGAACAG
RNAcentral lists this ribosomal RNA (254 nucleotides) under uncultured prokaryote. RNAcentral's name for it is "partial 16S ribosomal RNA". It matches the Rfam family "Bacterial small subunit ribosomal RNA", at positions 522 to 775 of the family's 1533-position model. The record is from RNAcentral.